RNAcentral lists this long non-coding RNA (289 nucleotides) under Mytilus galloprovincialis (Mediterranean mussel). The record is from RNAcentral. Lineage: Eukaryota; Metazoa; Mollusca; Bivalvia; Mytilida; Mytilidae.
GGCUUUACUUUUGGUUCUUUUUAGUUGUAUCAGCUCAUCACGUUUAUAGUUAGUUUUGGACCUCCAAAUAUUUUGGCUGGAGCAUCACUGAGGAGAUACUUUAAUACGGUCGAAGUAUGCAUCUGUUGCAAUUACAAUCGGUACAGUUAUAAUGUUAAUAUUAUUACGUAAUUAGUACGUAUAUCAUGUACUGACUUACUAUAUUGUUUUUAGUUGUUAUUAAACUUAUGGUUUAAUUAAUUGUGUUAAUAUAUGUUUUCAUUUUAGUAUUAUUGUCAUUUUGUUUAUU